RNAcentral lists this ribosomal RNA (476 nucleotides) under uncultured bacterium. Its description in RNAcentral is "partial 16S ribosomal RNA". It matches the Rfam family "Bacterial small subunit ribosomal RNA", at positions 28 to 523 of the family's 1533-position model. The record is from RNAcentral.
GAUGAACGCUGGCGGCGUGCUUAACACAUGCAAGUCGAGCGAGUGAGUUCUUCGGAACGAUCUAGCGGCGGACGGGUGAGUAACACGUGGGCAACCUGCCUCAUAGAGGGGAAUAGCCUCCCGAAAGGGAGAUUAAUACCGCAUAACAUCGUUGAAGGGCAUCCUUCGAUGAUCAAAGGAGCAAUCCGCUAUGAGAUGGGCCCGCGGCGCAUUAGCUAGUUGGUGAAGUAACGGCUCACCAAGGCGACGAUGCGUAGCCGACCUGAGAGGGUGAUCGGCCACAUUGGGACUGAGACACGGCCCAGACUCCUACGGGAGGCAGCAGUGGGGAGUAUUGCACAAUGGGGGAAACCCUGAUGCAGCAACGCCGCGUGAGUGAUGACGGCCUUCGGGUUGUAAAGCUCUGUCUUUGGGGACGAUAAUGACGGUACCCAAGGAGGAAGUCACGGCUAACUACGUGCCAGCCGCCGCGGUAA